GUGCUUGUCUAGUUUUGUGGCCUUUGUUACUUGAGUAAGUAAGCCCGAGGGGAUUGUCUUUACACCUAGCGCCCUAAGGUCUUAAUGGUCUAGGAGUCGUUGGUCGAAAGCUCGUUAAGGUAGCAUUGAAAAGCCUAAGGGAAUAAGACAUCGCAUAGCUAUGUGUAUAUAAACCAAAAUAAAGCCCCUGUAGAUGAAAAUAAAGCAUAAGUAUCCCAUGUUGACCCUCAAUAUUGGUAAUUGUUUAAGUUUAGUUGAAUUUAUCUUAUUUUUGGAUUUCUUGACUUUACAUUGUAUGAUGCCUUCGAAGAGACUUGUUAUGUGUUAAAUUUGAUUUUAUAUUAGUUAACAUUGUUGUGGAGCACACACACACUAUACCAGUAAUAACAGUUUAAGACUUGAUGACUGACUAGGAAAUUGUUGAUUGGUUUUGAUAUGAUGUAUUAUCAUGUUUACUUGAUUUCUCUAUGGCCGGUUGAAUAGACUUGUUUCUGUCUUUACUACUGGAUUCGUAGGCAUAUAGAUUAGUUACAUUUCAUUUCAUUGCAUUGCAUUGCAUUAUGUUGUGUUGCUUGGGGACAAGCAACGGUUUAAGUUUGGGAGUAUUUGAUAAGUGGAUUUUAUAUACACUUAUCCGGUAUCUUUUACUUGAAUUAGUUGCUUAUAUUCAUGUGUCU
Molecule: long non-coding RNA, 677 nt
Filed under: Panax ginseng (ginseng)
Lineage: Eukaryota; Viridiplantae; Streptophyta; Magnoliopsida; Apiales; Araliaceae
Description: long non-coding RNA (PGIN_LNC015132)
Source: RNAcentral